UUUAAAACUAGUUUUUUCUACAGUUGCAAUGUUAUUUGAUGUCUCUCUUUGUUGCUUUGGUCGUGAUUGGUUAAUCUAAACGUCAUCCAGGAAUCUGGCCAAUGACAACUGGGCACGCCUCCUACCGCUCAAAUUUGAAUUUACACACCAGUCCGUUGCUGCUCUGUUUAUCUGCAGUCCUGCUCCGUUCAGUGCAGUAGUAAUGGCUUUUACAUGAUUAUCACAUAUCUGACAGAUGAAUUCUUAUUUUGACCGAUUUUGAGUUAUGCGGUGCAGAUUGAGAACGAAAAAGCGCAAAUAUGAACACAGACACAAUGGCUAAUGGACACAUAUUGCAAACGGCAGAAGAGAGGACAUGAAACCAUUCUUGGACUCUGAAGAAUACUAUGCAAACCAUGCUUUUGGAUCUACUGUUAAGUUUUUGUAAUAAAGCUGAGGUUUUGGGAUUGAAAAUCUUCUGCCACAUGAUCUUCCGUAAAAAAAAAAGUCAGUUAUGCAGAUUGGAAAAGACAUGGAUGCAGCAAGGAUCCAGCUGAUUACUUCAGAUUUGGUGGACUGCUCUUUAUCUGCUGUGACUGUCACUUCUGGUGCAGAAUCAUGGACCUUUAUUUGUAUGUUUUGAUUUGACUUAUUACACUUGUGUAGCUAGUAUUCAGGAUUAAAAUACAAUGUAAUUUUUGUCCACAUAUAUUAUCAGAGCUAUAUGGAAUCCAAUAGGGUCAGUCAAAUAUUGAGAAAAACACUAUAAACCUGAUUGGGAAAAUACAAGCUAAAAUACAGUUGCCUCCACAAUCUUUUUCAAAGAAAAAAUCAUGAUACUAUAACCCUAACUUGUAAGAUAAAAAUUUAAUUUUUAGUUUUUCAAUUGCUCCUCAAGAAUUCCUCCUCAGGAAUUUGUUUACAUAAAUUUUCAUCUAAAUAAUGAAACAGUUUUAAGCAUGGAGUACACUACACGACUUCUGAACAGAUUUUUGACUUACCGACUUUGUAAAUAAUGACAAAGGAAAGCUGGGCAUCAUAUCCUUAAGCCUGGAAUACACUACACUAUUUUUGCCCUGAUUUUCCACCAAUUUACAGUCAGGAGAAGUUGACACUAGUUGCCGAAAGUCAGAGCCAGCCUGCAGAUUUGAGAUGACAGAUUCCAUAGAAAAUUGCAUAGUGUAUGAUAGUCACAGACUCUGGUUUUUUAAGCUUCAGACUCUGAUUCUAUCCAGUCGGAGGAUAUCAAACGUUUGAUAUUUUCAGCUGAUUUUACAAUGCAUAUUGUUUUCAUUUGUCAUGCGUCUCCUAGCAACAAGGCUCAUGUUUCUGAGUGAGUUUGUUGUGAUCGGAACAACUUUAAAGUCUGGUAGUGUAUGAUCCUCAGUCAUGUAGUGUAUGAUGCCCAGUUUUCCUUUGUCGCUAUUUACAAAGUCAGUAUAUGUAUGAUGCCUAGUGUUUUAAAAAUCUGUUCAGAUUUUAAAAGUCAUGUAGUGUAUUCCAGCCUUUAGAAUUAACAGUCAUUUGAAACAGUGGCAAUCUUGUAGAUGUUUUGUAUUUCUUCUUUUGAGAAUAUUUAAUUCAACUUCUGAUCAAACUGUUCUGUUAAUUGGUACAGUAUUGUAAAUGUUGAAAUGCAUUUCCUUUCAAAUUUGUACUUUUUUUUUCUUCAAAAACUGA
Long non-coding RNA from Onychostoma macrolepis, 1659 nucleotides. RefSeq lists it as uncharacterized. The record is from RefSeq and is a predicted model, not a curated record. The transcript is spliced from 5 exons. NCBI's taxonomy places the organism in Eukaryota, Metazoa, Chordata, Actinopteri, Cypriniformes, Cyprinidae.